Molecule: transfer RNA, 75 nt
Filed under: Chloroflexota bacterium
Lineage: Bacteria; Bacillati; Chloroflexota
Description: Chloroflexi bacterium (aquatic metagenome) tRNA-Arg
Rfam family: tRNA
About the family: Transfer RNA (tRNA) molecules are approximately 80 nucleotides in length. Their secondary structure includes four short double-helical elements and three loops (D, anti-codon, and T loops).
Source: RNAcentral
GCCCCCGUAGCUCAGGGGAUAGAGCACCGGCCUCCGGAGCCGGUGGCGCAGGUUCGAAUCCUGCCGGGGGUACCA